UGAACGCUGGCGGCGUGCCUAAUACAUGCAAGUCGAACGAUGAAGCUUUUAGCUUGCUAGAAGUGGAUUAGUGGCGCACGGGUGAGUAAUGCAUAGGUUAUGUGCCCUUUAGUCUAGGAUAGCCACUGGAAACGGUGAUUAAUACUGGAUACUCCCUACGGGGGAAAGUUUUUCGCUAAAGGAUCGGCCUAUGUCCUAUCAGCUUGUUGGUGAGGUAAUGGCUCACCAAGGCUAUGACGGGUAUCCGGCCUGAGAGGGUGAACGGACACACUGGAACUGAGACACGGUCCAGACUCCUACGGGAGGCAGCAGUAGGGAAUAUUGCUCAAUGGGGGAAACCCUGAAGCAGCAACGCCGCGUGGAGGAUGAAGGUUUUAGGAUUGUAAACUCCUUUUGUGAGAGAAGAUUAUGACGGUAUCUCACGAAUAAGCACCGGCUAACUCCGUGCCAGCAGCCGCGGUAAUACGGAGGGCGCAAGCGUUACUCGGAAUCACUGGGCGUAAAGAGUGCGCAGGCGGGUAGUCAAGUCAGAUGUGAAAUCCUAUAGCUUAACUAUAGAACUGCAUUUGAAACUGAUUAUCUAGAGUGUGGGAGAGGUAGGUGGAAUUCUUGGUGUAGGGGUAAAAUCCGUAGAGAUCAAGAGGAAUACUCAUUGCGAAGGCGACCUACUGGAACAUUACUGACGCUCAUGCACGAAAGCGUGGGGAGCAAACAGGAUUAGAUACCCUGGUAGUCCACGCCCUAAACGAUGAAUGCUAGUUGUUGCCCUGCUUGACAGGGCAGUAAUGCAGCUAACGCAUUAAGCAUUCCGCCUGGGGAGUACGGUCGCAAGAUUAAAACUCAAAGGAAUAGACGGGGACCCGCACAAGCGGUGGAGCAUGUGGUUUAAUUCGAAGAUACGCGAAGAACCUUACCUAGGCUUGACAUUGAUAGAAUCCUAUAGAGAUAUGGGAGUGCCCUUUUAGGGAGCUUGAAAACAGGUGCUGCACGGCUGUCGUCAGCUCGUGUCGUGAGAUGUUGGGUUAAGUCCCGCAACGAGCGCAACCCUCGUCCUUAGUUGCUAACUAUUCGGUAGAGCACUCUAAGGAGACUGCCUUCGCAAGGAGGAGGAAGGUGAGGAUGACGUCAAGUCAUCAUGGCCCUUACGCCUAGGGCUACACACGUGCUACAAUGGGAAGCACAAAGAGAUGCAAUAUUGUGAAAUGGAGCAAAUCUAUAAAACUUCUCUCAGUUCGGAUUGUAGUCUGCAACUCGACUACAUGAAGCUGGAAUCGCUAGUAAUCGUAAAUCAGCUAUGUUACGGUGAAUACGUUCCCGGGUCUUGUACUCACCGCCCGUCACACCAUGGGAGUUGUAUUCGCCUUAAGUCGGAAUGCCAAACUGGCUACCGCCCACGGCGG
RNAcentral lists this ribosomal RNA (1400 nucleotides) under uncultured Helicobacter sp. Its description in RNAcentral is "16S ribosomal RNA". It matches the Rfam family "Bacterial small subunit ribosomal RNA". Lineage: Bacteria; Pseudomonadati; Campylobacterota; Epsilonproteobacteria; Campylobacterales; Helicobacteraceae. The record is from RNAcentral.